UUCUGGAGGAUCGUUGGUUUCCCUUCCCUUGUAGGUUCAGCUCAGAUGAAAGUAUUCAGAGGCAAUAUGCAAAAUGGCCCUGUGCCUUCUUAAAGGGGCUUAUGACAUAUGGAUUGAAUGAUCAUCUUUGAGGAUUAACUGGGCAUUUGUUCUGAGUGCAUUGUAGAAGCUACUGCCUCUGCCUGUGACUCAGUUUUUAGGCCCAGGAUGGGCCCCAAGGAGUUAAAACAAGGCAUGUCCAAUUAAAUAACUACCUGGCCGAGGAAGAUGCCGCACAUUCUGUACUUUCGAUUCUCAUGACAUGCUAUGAGAUGCCUGUUUAUCUGAGCGUACUGUGCAGGUGUGUGGUCUGGCGCUUGCAAGCAAGAUGAACAUGUCGGGAGAGGGAAAAGUAGGAGCAGGAGAGAGAAUACCUAACAAGUAAGGGCAAAAGAUUCCUAACUUUGGGUUAGGUAGAUGUGAAGGCACAAUAGGUGCAAGGAAGUUUCGAAGAGCGUACUAAUCCAAUUAUUAAAGUGCCAUAGAUGUACUUUGUGCAGCAAAGAAUAAUCUGAAAUAGUUUUUCUGUGAGUCCAC
This 576-nucleotide long non-coding RNA is filed under the name Pogona vitticeps (central bearded dragon). RNAcentral's name for it is "lncRNA (ENSPVIG00000024505.1)". Lineage: Eukaryota; Metazoa; Chordata; Lepidosauria; Squamata; Agamidae. The record is from RNAcentral.